AGCAGUCGCCGCGGUAAUACGAAGGGUGCAAGCGUUACUCGGAAUUACUGGGCGUAAAGCGUGCGCAGGCGGUUUGUUAAGACAGAUGUGAAAUCCCCGGGCUCAACCUGGGAACUGCAUUUGUGACUGGCAAGCUAGAGUGUGGCAGAGGGGGGUGGAAUUCCGCGUGUAGCAGUGAAAUGCGUAGAUAUGCGGAGGAACACCGAUGGCGAAGGCAGCCCCCUGGGCCAACACUGACGCUCAUGCACGAAAGCGUGGGGAGCAAACAGGAUUAGAUACCCGCGUAGUCCCUGUCUCUUAUAC
Molecule: ribosomal RNA, 303 nt
Filed under: uncultured bacterium
Lineage: Bacteria
Description: partial 16S ribosomal RNA
Rfam family: Bacterial small subunit ribosomal RNA
Source: RNAcentral